UCCAGGGUAGCCUAGUGGACAUGGCAUCUGCCCGGUAAGCGGAACAUUGUGAAUUCAAUUCCCAUCCCUGGAC
This 73-nucleotide transfer RNA is filed under the name Cordylochernes scorpioides. Its description in RNAcentral is "tRNA-Thr". Lineage: Eukaryota; Metazoa; Arthropoda; Arachnida; Pseudoscorpiones; Chernetidae. The record is from RNAcentral.